Molecule: long non-coding RNA, 265 nt
Filed under: Elaeis guineensis (African oil palm)
Lineage: Eukaryota; Viridiplantae; Streptophyta; Magnoliopsida; Arecales; Arecaceae
Description: long non-coding RNA (EGUI_LNC037936)
Source: RNAcentral
GAGUUGAGCUACAUCCAAAAGAAAGUAAACCUAAAACAAAUAAAAGAUAAUAUAUUAGUUUCAUAAGCAACUAACUUAUACAAGUUUAUCUUUCUUAUACUUGAGAGUUUCACUAGAAUAUUUGCAUACAGGCUUCAAGAAUCAGCAUGACAGCAAAAAUAUGGUUUCUUGAUACACUAGAGUCAUUCAUUAUUUCGACAUGAGUUGAGCUGUAUCUAAAAGAAAAUAAUAUAAAACAAAUAAAAGAUAAUAUAUUAGCUUCAUG